UGGUACAUGCUGCAUGUGGCG
RNAcentral lists this unclassified non-coding RNA (21 nucleotides) under Chlamydomonas reinhardtii. RNAcentral describes it as "small RNA Cre_3429". Lineage: Eukaryota; Viridiplantae; Chlorophyta; Chlorophyceae; Chlamydomonadales; Chlamydomonadaceae. The record is from RNAcentral.